RNAcentral lists this transfer RNA (67 nucleotides) under Amesia sanguiflua. RNAcentral describes it as "tRNA-His". Lineage: Eukaryota; Metazoa; Arthropoda; Insecta; Lepidoptera; Zygaenidae. The record is from RNAcentral.
ACUUAAAUAAUUUAAAUAAAAUAUUGAUUUGUGGUGUCAAAAAUAUGCAUAAGCUUCAUUUUAAGUU